This 467-nucleotide ribosomal RNA is filed under the name Penaeus indicus. RNAcentral describes it as "partial 16S ribosomal RNA". It matches the Rfam family "Bacterial large subunit ribosomal RNA", at positions 1856 to 2570 of the family's 2925-position model. The record is from RNAcentral. Lineage: Eukaryota; Metazoa; Arthropoda; Malacostraca; Decapoda; Penaeidae.
AGCCUGCCCACUGAUUUAGUUUAAAGGGCCGCGGUAUAUUGACCGUGCGAAGGUAGCAUAAUCAUUAGUCUUUUAAUUGAAGGCUUGUAUGAAUGGUUGGACAAAAAGUAAGCUGUCUCAAUUAUAAUAAUUGAACUUAACUUUUAAGUGAAAAGGCUUAAAUAAAUUAGGGGGACGAUAAGACCCUAUAAAGCUUGACAAUAACUUAAUUAUACUAUCAAUUGUUAGUGUAACUUGGUUUUAAUUAAGAUUUGUUGCGUUGGGGCGACGAGAAUAUAAUAGGUAACUGUUCUUAAAUAUUUAAUGACAAAUAUAAUUGAAAAUUAGUGUGAUCCUCUAUUAGCGAUUAAAAGAUUAAGUUACUUUAGGGAUAACAGCGUAAUCUUCUUUGAGAGUCCCUAUCGACAAGAAGGUUUGCGACCUCGAUGUUGAAUUAAGGUAUCCUUAUGAUGCAGCAGUUAUAAAGG